Alexandromys fortis (reed vole) is the source of this 6923-nucleotide long non-coding RNA. RefSeq lists it as uncharacterized. The record is from RefSeq and is a predicted model, not a curated record. Lineage: Eukaryota; Metazoa; Chordata; Mammalia; Rodentia; Cricetidae. The transcript has 2 exons.
GGCGUGUCUAACAACUUGGGGUCUCCAAGGUAAUCCAGGCUUCACCUUCACAGCUUCAUUAAUGGACUCUCCAAGCUUUCAUCACAUCUCUGACACAAGCCUGGCCUCUGCAACUCUUUCCAGCCGUGGAGCCCAGGAUUGGAGCCCAAGGAAUGGUGCCACCCACAUGGGGUUUCCCACCCUGAUAAACCUGAUCGAGAUAAUUCCCUCCAGUGUGGCCCAGUGGAUAAAUCUACAUCAGAGCUCAAGCACCCAAGGCACGGGGGACACCUGGGUAAGAGCCAGAGUACCGGGAAGUCUGCUGUGAAACAGUCUCUGCAAGAAAAGGCUGCACACACAAGACUGCAACAACACAGGAUCAAUGGAUGGACUAACACGGAAGGGGGGCAUUUACAAGGUCCCACCUCUAGACAAAGGAUGACAGGUAACUAAUGACUACUAGGAGAAGAAUUAGUCUUUCCCAGGCGUGAACCUCCUUAUUGGUUGUCCAAUCCAGAGUGAUUAGCCUGGAAACCAUUUACACCACACAACAAAAAUGGACUCAGCAGAUUGUAUUUAUAUAUAUUUGUGACACAUAUGCAUGUGUACAUAGCAAACAGAAUCAAAGAAAAAAAGGUUAUUGACUUUUGAGGGGAACAUGCAAGGGGUUUGAGAGAGGGCAGUUUGUAAAGGCUGGAGGGAGGGAAGGGUGGGACAAGUGAUAUAAUUCCAUUUUAAUUAAAAAUACUUCUUCAAAAAAGGAACAACAACAAGAAGGUAACCUUUCACGGCGUGCCAAGGGCUCUGAACCUCACUCAUCAAGUUGACAGCUGAUCAUUUAUCAUAGCUGGUGGGACUGGAAAAUAGAAGUUUAUAUGUAGGGAUUUGUGGACGGUUCCUCUCGUCAGAGCAGCCAGAGCUGCUGAAGUGGUGGCUUGUACCCACUGCCUUAGGGGACAGAUUACAGGAAGCACUAGGGGCCAGGGAGCCGCCGUAGUGGGUACAGCAAAGCUUGGCAAAUUUGAGGGUCUUUAAGGUGAAAAAUUGUCUUCUGACUUAUAUAUGUAUGCUGUGGCCCAUGUUCUCUCUCUCUUCUCCCCUCCUUCUCCCCCUCUCCCACAAACACACACACACACACACACAAACACACACAUAAAGAAAUGUAAUAAAACAUCUUUUAAAAAAACACAUGAACGUUUUAGAAAGAGGAACAGGAAAAGGAAAUCACCAAGAUCACCAAGAGAAACUCCCAGUCCGAGGAAGAUUAAGUACACGCUCAGUUUAUCUGGUGAAUCAGUACUUCCGGUCCAAGGAAGGAUAAGUACACUCUUAGUACGUCUGGUGAAUCGGUAAGUAGGCGUCUUACGUCAAAGCUGCCAUUUUCCAUUUUGUUGAACAAAUGAAGGGAAUGACUCUGACAUGUUAUCAAUAUCAGUCUCACCACGGACAGCAUGCCAGAUGCUGCUCUGAAAGGCUGGCAGAGGGCACCACCUCCAGGAAGAUACUGCUGUCAAAUCACAGGCUUUAAAGACAGAGGCUCUUCGAACCAACAGAGGGGGCCCCAUUGUUUGGCUCAAAAUACGACAGGUCAGAAUACUGAACUUUCUUCUGCUGACAGUAUGCACAGACAGGUUGUCAAACAGGCUUUUAUGCCUUCUUUAAAGGAAUAUUCAUUAAAGAACAUUUUUGCCUUUGCCACUAACAUAACUUGGAUUUUGAAACUUGGCUCUAGGAUGCCCAGAUUCCAUUUGAAAACCAACCAUCGGGCACUGUUUAAAGAGACAUCCCCUCAAGUUACACAUAUUUGAAUUGACUGGAUGCCCAGCGAAGGGUAGUGUCAGUACCAGCGCUUACACAAUCACUGAAAUCAGAGCUGCCUCACAGGCUCAAGCACACGGGAAGAGGCGCUCAGUUCAUUUUUUUUCAGGAAGAAGGCUCCUCACCUAGGCCUAGCAGCAAUAGGAUAACCUGAACCUUACACUUCUGUGUAAACGCCAGGAUUUGCAGGUGUGUGCCCUCAUGCCUAGCUAAUGACUUCAUUAGAUGACAAAGCAUUACUGGCCACACUGUAAGCAGGGCUGUGUACCUACUGCACUUCUGCUCAGUCUACUGCUGUUGAGAGCUGCCACUCGGAUCAGCCUACCCAAAGAUGAACUGGGGCUCACUGGGCCCCUUUAGUCCCUGUCCCAAUGCACAUGGAGAAACAUCACCUUUCUCUUCUUUCCCUAAUUAUCUUUUCAGUGGGGUACUGACACCAGCUGUCAGCCCUGUCUUUUGAGGCUGCCGCAGCAGGGCUUUGCAUUAACACUACAAUGGCAGCGCCACACCGGAAGGCUCAAGGCCCAAGAAUUCCACUGCCCCUCUUAAGCAGUUACACCUGCCAGGGAUUGAAGCACGCUGGUGUUUACAGAAAAUUCAAGUAGGGAGUAAGUUUACUUUAUUACUUUCCUCUUAGGAGAGUUCUUUAUCAUAACCCUAAUUACAAAGUCCUCCCCACCCCUUUAUAGAGGUUGACCUGAGAACUAAUGAUUUAUGCCCAUUUGGUGACAUCAAGAGUGAUUUCCAUUGCCCUGGCAUCUUGCUUUCCUAGGGAGGAAAUGCUGCCCUUGGUGAUCCAUCCUGUCCUCUAGCAAGUUACCCUGCAUAAAGUUCAGGAUGUGAAGCAGAGGUUCACUUCAUUCACUGUGGCUGAGACCUCUGCUCCCAAAAAACUGACUUCAACACACGAGGGAUUGGAGGGGACAGAGCAAAGCUGGAUAACCGCAUUUCCAAUGGUUCAAUAUUACGUAUGAAAGGCCAGGGAUGGAUAUACAUAAGUGACUGGAGCCUCAGGGAUCACUUGCUGCCCAAUUAGUGUAAAAGUAGCAAGGGAUAGGAGCCAGAAGAUCCAGCUGUCUUGGCCCAAGCAGACAGGUAAGGGGAGACAUGCUAGUGGCAUUUAGUGAGGUCCUCACAACUGAGUAAUAUCAUAGGAGUACUGCAACCAGUAACUUUCACACAUCCUACUUCGUUGAACAACAGGACUCAAGUUACAACUUCUGGCUCCAGGAUAAGGUUUGGGAGAUGCGCUAGAUCAUCAUCAUCCAUCCAUCCAUCCAUCCAUCCAUCCAUCCAUCCAUCCAUCCAUCCAUCCAUCCAAUCAUUUAUCUAUCAAUCACCUAUCACCAAUUGCUGUGGAAUAAUCAUGUACACAGAAAAUGUGUUGCUCUCAUUGUUAAUAAAAAGCUGACUGGCCGAUAGCUAAGCAGGAUUUUCCGGGUAAGAAUGUUGGGAAGGAUGGAGUCAUUGGACUUGCUGAUGCAGAGGGAGCAAGACAUGCUAGAGAACAGGUAAAAGUCAUGAGUCAUUUGGCAACAUGGAGAUUGACAGUUAUGGGCUAAUUUAAAUUGCAAGAGCUAGUUACAAACAAGCCUAAGUUCUCAGCUGAGCUUUCAUAAUUAAUGUCUUUGUGUAAUUUGGGAGCUGGCUGGCCCAACAAAAAAAGUCUGUCUACAACCAAUCAUCUAUCAGUCAUGACAAUGUUACAUUAUUUAGUCUAGGCUGGCCAUGAAGUCCUGGCAAUCCUAUUUCAUGUCAGGAGCCAUUUCCCCCCUAACAAUCAUUACAGAAACCAUCACUCUAGGGAGUCUGCAGAGAACCUCACACCCAUAAUUAUGUUCUAUUGACAGAAUCUGCCCCUCACCCAAUUAACUGUUAAUCUAUUAGCAGAAUACGCCUCACAUUCCAGCUACCCAGGGAACCAGGUGUGGCAACUUGUGACUUCUGGCCUGUCUGUCCGAGUGUAGCCUGGCCUACGUGACCGGAACCAUGCGGCGAGAUCCCUUGCCCUGCCCCCCAUUCCUUACCAUAUAUAAGCAGCAACCAUGACCCUAAUAAACGGAGGCUUUGACAAAUCUGCUUGGCCUCCUUCUUCUGUCUUAGCUCAUUCCCUUCCAGGUAGCGCCCCUCCGAGACCCUGGAGUAACUGGAUUGCGGGGUGGGUUACAACCCCUAGACUGAGUAGCCCACCCCAACGCAAUCCACAAUUUCAGCCUCCCAAGUGGUGAGAUAGAUACGUAACAGACUCAAGAUGUCCAUUUACCAGUGACAAUAAACUACAAUUAAUAUUUAAUAUGGGACUUAGUAAAUACUUAGCAAGUUAGGGGUGCACUGACCCAUUAUUAUUAUUUUUUUUUUGCUUAUAACAGAAUUUAUGAUGAAAAUACUAUGGAUGAACAUUCACUUCAUCCAGGUCACAAGUAUUCAAGGGUAAUAAAUUCCUUUUCCAGAAUAAAAUAUUUUGAAUUCUGGAAUUAAAGGCAGCAGCCGCAAUGGAUUUCCCUCAAAAGCUCAGCUACACACACUGAGAAAAAACCUACAGUGAGCUUGUUAUAGCGAGUAGCAGUGACAGUUCUGACUCUCGUGGCUUACAACAAAGAGAAAUGAAAGGACUGUCUUCCAACACCCAUCCCCUCACCCUACAAUAAACCUAUUUCUUGAAGAGGAAACAAAAUCAUAUUUUGAGGGAAACGCCCCAAAUUAAUGCUGAUAGCAUUUUUUUUUUUUUUUUUUUUUUGUCCUCCAAAGAUACUGUGAUGUCACUGGGAUCAACUAGGAGACACCUGUGGGCAGGCUUGUGAGGGAGUCUCCUCAAGGUUUGACUGAAGCAGGAAAACCUUCCAAGAAUGAUACAAUCAGCCGGGCCACAUGGUGGCCAGGAACCAAGUCUGGAUCCUCUGCAAGAGCUCCAAACCCCUGGGCCCUCUCUCCAGCCACUCAAUAUUCUUUUAUACACAUUAGUAGUUUCCAAAUGUGUUUUGCUAAUCUAGUUGUUAUAUGACUGUAUUUAAGCAAUUUAGAAAUUAAAAUGUCAAGGCCAUUUGACAGACAAACUUGCACUUAGGCCCAAUUUUUUAAAGAACGUAGAUUAUUUUAUGUUAUUUAAGUUUCAAAAUUUCAAAGAUAAACUUGACCACCAGUGAAUAGAAAAGUACCCUUUUAUUGAGGUAAGACAAGUGUAUUUACAAUACGCCAUUGUUAGAGUAUAUAAUUUGACCAUGAGACUUCUAAAGCAGCUGAAUUCCAGAGAACUGUAAGGGAGAACAUUGCAGGCAUGUUUCUGUUACAGAAGGUACAUUUGAACAUGACAGAAACACUUAAGGCUGAGUACUGGAACUUUUCCUCCAUCUGGGGGAAUAAUCAAAGGGUUCUUUUUUUUUUUUUGUCACAAAGACAGAGGCUGAUUUUAGAAGGGGUGGGUGAGGGAACCCUCAACAAGAGGGCUUACAGAAGUCAAAAGGCUGGUUUUUUUUUUCUUUAAAAAAAAAAAAAACAGAGCCUCUUCAAGGUUCUGACUAAGUGCAGUGUUGGCAAGCAUUCCAGUUCCACUGCAGACUGACCUGAAACUGAAAGCCAUCCCAGCCCUCUGCCUUACUAAAGUCUAUGAGCUUCUCCCAUCUUCUCAGGUUCAGUGUUUUCUGAAACCAGAACGCUGAAAGGGGAUGUUUGCUGUAGUGCAAAAACCACUUUGAUAGGGUCAUGUCUACGUGGAUUUAAAUGGCAGACUCCUGUUCUAACAGUGACACCUAGCCACUGUCUACAGGGCACCUCACACAAGUUAGUUCUCAAAGCAUAGCAUUGAAUUCCAGGAAGGUGACUUUUUGAUGAACGUCAGACAACGCCAGGUCUUUUAUUAUAUCCCAUGAGCUAUUGAGGUAGGAUUCUCUACUUAUCGAGUUUUCACAGGUUACACCAUAAGGUCAGAUGCCAAGUACCAAACACGACAGUAAUCCACAAUGAACCAUCUCACUACAAACCAGUCCUUCCUUCUGCAGACCGGCAAGGCUGGGGAUUCUCCUGGCACCAAGAAAUUUAAAAACAACAAACAUUGUAAUUGUAUUGUCUUGUAGAAAUGGUUUGUAAAUAAAUACAAUUUCAAUUAUGAUUUUCUGCAUCAAAAAGCUUUGAGACUGCUAAAAAUAAAUAGUGCAAUCAUUAGUGGUAAGAUAAGUAGUAGUACGUCUGAGGAAGUGCUCCCAUGUCCAACAGGAAAACUACCGCCCUGGGGAAGGAAGGAAACCAUGGUUGCUCCUCUUGGCAGACUAGCAACAGAAGGGAAUGAAUGACAAGAUUGCCCCAAGUCAGCAUCACGCAUCUGAGGAACCAUGGCGAGUUUAGUUAGGAUGUAAUAGUUUUUGCAUGUCACUGGGGGCAUCUUCUCUCCUAACUCAAGAUGGAGAACGGUGCAGGAAGCAGAUGAGGUGCAUGCUCAUUUUCGACUGUUACAAUAAGAGGGAAAUCACGAUGAAAUAAACAGCACUCUUCACAGUCACAGAAUCAAGCCCUUGACAUGCUACAGACUUUCAAUGUCACCACAAAGUAUGAAACCAAGGUGGGAAACUCUGGCCAAAUGUCCUAAAAACACAGUAGGAAGUACUACAGCAUGACAUGGGAACAUCUGGUUGCGUCACUUAAGAUCUCAAAAUCUGACUCCAACACCCUCGAUAGAGACUACUCCACAGUUAGAACGCUGUGCUUGGCGUCUGUGUGCAGCAGAUUGUACGAACACACCCAGGCCACACUCAAGAGAUCUCUGCAUCCAGAGUGUUGUAGAGUCAAGAAAGCACUUGGUCAGCUAUGACUGAGAAGUAACAGCUCAGAAUGACCUCUGCGUAUCCCAAAAAGGAUAUCUUUUAGUUUUGGAUUUUUAUCUGGCUCCAAAAUAUAAAGAUUCAAAAGGAUCACAAAAGUUUUAUUUUCAUGUUUACAAAAAAAGUGAUUCACACAUGAAACUGGGCUUUCCCUGGGCUGAUACACAGAGACGACAUAAUCUAAUCCAAUUCAGGCAUCAUUAUUGGUGACCCAGCACACCUAGAAUUAGCUGGGCCAUCAAAAUAGACAUUAUAAAAAAAAAAAAAAAUCAAAUGCCUGUGUUCCUGAAUCUUCUAAAAAAAAAAAAAAGAAAA